RNAcentral lists this long non-coding RNA (263 nucleotides) under Elaeis guineensis (African oil palm). RNAcentral describes it as "long non-coding RNA (EGUI_LNC035892)". Lineage: Eukaryota; Viridiplantae; Streptophyta; Magnoliopsida; Arecales; Arecaceae. The record is from RNAcentral.
UCUUAGCGGGUACUAGAAUCCACAUAAACUGCACAUGGGUUCGACUUUGGUCGGUUAAUCCAUGUGCAUCUAUGGGUAAGUUCUUAACCAAUUAUUUUUUCAAACAACUUUUAGUAAUUAAUUUUGCCCCAAAUUUCAUUUCAGUAGGCUAGGACCUCCACUGAAAGUCCUGGUUAGGUCUAACCAUUAACAUAACCAUGCUCAGCCUAUCUAACUAAUAAAUGAUCAGGUCCAACUUUGGUUGACCAACCUAACUACCCAUC